RNAcentral lists this ribosomal RNA (253 nucleotides) under uncultured bacterium. Its description in RNAcentral is "partial 16S ribosomal RNA". It matches the Rfam family "Bacterial small subunit ribosomal RNA", at positions 524 to 776 of the family's 1533-position model. The record is from RNAcentral.
UACGGAGGGAGCUAGCGUUGUUCGGAAAUACUGGGCGUAAAGCGCACGUAGGCGGCUUCUUAAGUCAGGGGUGAAAUCCUGGAGCUCAACUCCAGAACUGCCUUUGAUACUGAGGAGCUUGAGUCCGGGAGAGGUGAGUGGAACUGCGAGUGUAGAGGUGAAAUUCGUAGAUAUUCGCAAGAACACCAGUGGCGAAGGCGGCUCACUGGCCCGGUACUGACGCUGAGGUGCGAAAGCGUGGGGAGCAAACAGG